RNAcentral lists this unclassified non-coding RNA (622 nucleotides) under Entoloma holmvassdalenense. RNAcentral describes it as "sequence contains ITS1, 5.8S rRNA gene, ITS2". The stretch from base 265 to 418 matches the Rfam family "5.8S ribosomal RNA". Lineage: Eukaryota; Fungi; Basidiomycota; Agaricomycetes; Agaricales; Entolomataceae. The record is from RNAcentral.
UUGAAUAAACUUGGUUUAGGCUGUUGCUGGCUCUUCGGAGAAUUGUGCACGCUUAUUCCAGCUUUAUAACCCCACCUGUGCACAUUGUGUAGAUCUGAAUAACUUUCAAGAUAAAAACUUGGUCAGAAGGAUUGCUGGAAUGACACCCCCAGCUUUCCUUUGCAUUUUCAGAUCUAUGUUUUACAUUUAUACUCCAUUUAAAAAGUAUCAGAAUGUUUAUAAUUCGGGCAUUAUGCAUGUCUGGAAAAAAAUAUAUAUAUAUACAACUUUCAACAACGGAUCUCUUGGCUCUUGCAUCGAUGACGAACGCAGCGAAAUGCGAUAAGUAAUGUGAAUUGCAGAAUUCAGUGAAUCAUCGAAUCUUUGAACGCACCUUGCGCUCUUUGGUAAUCCGAAGAGCAUGCCUGUUUGAGUGUCAUGAAAUUCUCAACCUUUCAAGCUUUUUUUUUAAAAAGCUAGUUAGGCUUGGAUCUUGGAAGCUUGCUGGCUCUUGUAGCUCACAGCUCUUCUUAAAUGCAUUAGCGAGAUUAAUCACUACAUCAUCUUUGAUAUGAUAAUUAUCUAUAUCAUCAAUGAACCAGUGUUUUUUUCUUCUUGCUUCUAAAUCUGUAUAUUGAAUCAU